GACGAACGCUGGCGGCGUGCCUAAUACAUGCAAGUAGAACGCACAGUUUAUACCGUAGCUUGCUACACCAUAGACUGUGAGUUGCGAACGGGUGAGUAACGCGUAGGUAACCUGCCUGGUAGCGGGGGAUAACUAUUGGAAACGAUAGCUAAUACCGCAUAAUAUUGAUUAUUGCAUGAUAAUUGAUUGAAAGAUGCUAUUGCAUCACUACCAGAUGGACCUGCGUUGUAUUAGCUAGUAGGUGAGGUAACGGCUCACCUAGGCGACGAUACAUAGCCGACCUGAGAGGGUGAUCGGCCACACUGGGGCUGAGACACGGCCCAGACUCCUACGGGAGGCAGCAGUAGGGAAUCUUCGGCAAUGGACGAAAGUCUGACCGAGCAACGCCGCGUGAGUGAAGAAGGUUUUCGGAUCGUAAAGCUCUGUUGUAAGAGAAGAACGGGUGUGAGAGUGGAAAGUUCACACUGUGACGGUAUCUUACCAGAAAGGGACGGCUAACUACGG
Molecule: ribosomal RNA, 504 nt
Filed under: uncultured bacterium
Lineage: Bacteria
Description: partial 16S ribosomal RNA
Rfam family: Bacterial small subunit ribosomal RNA
Source: RNAcentral